GGUAGGGUGGCUGAAAAAGCAUUAGACUGUAAAUCUAAUUAUAAAGGUACGUAUUCCUUUCUCUAUCA
This 68-nucleotide transfer RNA is filed under the name Olallamys albicauda (white-tailed Olalla rat). RNAcentral's name for it is "tRNA-Tyr". It matches the Rfam family "tRNA". From Rfam's summary of the family: Transfer RNA (tRNA) molecules are approximately 80 nucleotides in length. The record is from RNAcentral. Lineage: Eukaryota; Metazoa; Chordata; Mammalia; Rodentia; Echimyidae.